Mangifera indica (mango) is the source of this 500-nucleotide long non-coding RNA. RefSeq lists it as uncharacterized. NCBI's taxonomy places the organism in Eukaryota, Viridiplantae, Streptophyta, Magnoliopsida, Sapindales, Anacardiaceae. The transcript is spliced from 3 exons. The record is from RefSeq and is a predicted model, not a curated record.
UCAUUGGUAAAAGAAAAGCUUUGGUUUUUUGCCAAGGUCACGGCUCUAAUGCCGUAAAGACUUGUUGGGUGAUACAUGAAUAUCAUUCCGAGACUGCUCGUUAUUAUCAGAAGCCUUUUGUUCUUUGUCGAUUGAAAAGAAAAUCAGAUGAUACUGAAGAUGAUCAACCCAGUUCUCGUUGGGCUUCUACUUCCAGAAAUUAAUGGAAGAAACUUUGAGGACAGUUGGAGUCUGGAAGGUGGCAUAUCGAUCAAGAAGAAAGGCCUCCGAUAGGGAUGUAAACUCAACUACAGCGCUGGAAUUUCGAUUAGCAUAUAUAACUAUGGAGUUAGCUAAAUUUUGAAUUAGUUAGGACAUACUAUGUUUUCAGAAUGUGUUCACCGUUGUAAGCGUGUCUUUCUACAUCUUCAGCUUGUUUUUGUUUGUAAUAAUUAUCAACUUCAUUGAGUGCUUCUAUGUAAUAAAAGUGUUACAACUCUAUAAUAUAUACUUUUUUGGUA